Molecule: unclassified non-coding RNA, 403 nt
Filed under: fungal sp.
Lineage: Eukaryota; Fungi
Description: partial internal transcribed spacer region
Rfam family: Eukaryotic small subunit ribosomal RNA (bases 1-46)
Source: RNAcentral
AAGUCGUAACAAGGUUUCCGUAGGUGAACCUGCGGAAGGAUCAUUAACACGUAUCCAAACGUUAAACCCCCCUGUGAACCUUCAGUCGUACUCGUACGUCCGUUAGAAAAAGCAGCAAUCCCUGGUAAAUCAUCGCCGAACAGUUUUCGAUUCAGGGACGUCUGCAAGGAGCGUGCAUGUUGUGCGUGUAAGUGGCCUGGCAUCCCCAAGCAGUUAGUGUCUGAAAGUGUCACUAACGUUAGUGUCUGAAAGUGUCACUAACAUGUGUAAGGAUGACGCAGUCACGAUCGUUGGAGGCCCACACGGCCGACACACCCCUGCUCUAUCUAUGGUGAUCCUGCGGGAAGUCCUGCGGUCGAACGCCGAAACCGAACAACUGUUAACAAUGGAUAUCUUGGUUCUC